RNAcentral lists this ribosomal RNA (253 nucleotides) under uncultured bacterium. Its description in RNAcentral is "partial 16S ribosomal RNA". It matches the Rfam family "Bacterial small subunit ribosomal RNA", at positions 524 to 776 of the family's 1533-position model. The record is from RNAcentral.
UACGGGGGGGGCAAGCGUUGUUCGGAAUUACUGGGCGUAAAGGGCUCGUAGGUGGCCAACUAAGUCAGACGUGAAAUCCCUCGGCUUAACCGGGGAACUGCGUCUGAUACUGGAUGGCUUGAAUUCGGGAGAGGGAUGCGGAAUUCCAGGUGUAGCGGUGAAAUGCGUAGAUAUCUGGAGGAACACCGGUGGCGAAGGCGGCAUCCUGGACCGAGAUUGACGCUGAUGCGCGAAAGCGUGGGGAGCAAACAGG